Saccostrea cuccullata (small rock oyster) is the source of this 792-nucleotide long non-coding RNA. RefSeq lists it as uncharacterized. Lineage: Eukaryota; Metazoa; Mollusca; Bivalvia; Ostreida; Ostreidae. The transcript is spliced from 2 exons. The record is from RefSeq and is a predicted model, not a curated record.
GAAACGAUGUUUAUACUAAACGUUAAGUCACAGGAGAUAAAGAACUACUGAUACAACUGUUAAAGCAUUUUUAAAGUACAAAAGGAAAUAGACCAUCUAGAAAGAUGCCACGAUACAGUUUCUACAGAAAUGUCUUCUGUUUCGCCAUCACAAUCUGUACGACGAUCAUGGCAACAUCAGGGUCACGUAGCUUUUCCAAAUCAGAUUUCAUGAAUUUCAUUUCCACAAUUCAAGAUCCUAACCUAAAAGUACUAAGUCAGAUAUUAAAAGACGAAGCGUGGAGACGGAAACUGAACGAACUGUCCUCGGAAAUUGACGAUAUUGAUCUCUCCGAAGAAUAUCUGAACGAACUGUCAUCCGAAAAUCAGAGACGAGGUUAUCUUCCCUCUUUUAUGUCUGUAAGAAAAAGGAAAGUAUUUUGGCAACCAAUGCCCUUCGUUCCACACGAUGUAAGGCAGAAUUCAAGGGAUAAGGAUGCAGGAACGAAUGAUAGUCCUAAUAGUGGAACAAUAUUAAGAUAUGGUUAAAUCUAAAGUUCUUUAGAACAUAUUUCUAUGAAUUAUUUCAUAGUUUCUUUUAUGCCUUUCCAGCUAAAUAACUGAAAAUGUGAACAAAGGUAACUACAAUAAUGUAACAGCACUUCAACCACAUAAAUUUCCUUCGCAAGAUUCCAUUGUCAAAUGCAUCGCAUGAUUGUCUUAUAUUCUCUUUAAUGCAAAUUAUAUAAACUUUUGUAUUCUUCAACCUUACCAUACCCUCUAAUUUAUGAAUAAACAGAGCUUUUUAGUUGUA